RNAcentral lists this ribosomal RNA (253 nucleotides) under uncultured microorganism. RNAcentral describes it as "partial 16S ribosomal RNA". It matches the Rfam family "Bacterial small subunit ribosomal RNA", at positions 524 to 776 of the family's 1533-position model. The record is from RNAcentral.
UACGUAGGGUGCGAGCGUUAAUCGGAUUUACUGGGCGUAAAGCGUGCGCAGGCGGCCCGUUAAGACAGGUGUGAAAUCCCUGGGCUCAACCUAGGAAUUGCGCUUGUGACUGGCGGGCUCGGGUACGGUAGAGGGGGGUGGAAUUCCUGGUGUAGCAGUGAAAUGCGUAGAGAUCAGGAGGAACACCGAUGGCGAAGGCAGCCCCCUGGGCCUGUACUGACGCUCAUGCACGAAAGCGUGGGGAGCAAACAGG